GGAAAGUGCAAAGCUGCUUAGAAGAGGGU
RNAcentral lists this non-coding RNA (29 nucleotides) under Homo sapiens (human). Lineage: Eukaryota; Metazoa; Chordata; Mammalia; Primates; Hominidae. The record is from RNAcentral.